CUUUCCCAUUAACAUGCGUAGUUCUUUGGUUGUUGCAAGUCUGCAACUUAAAUGGUUGAGAGCAUGUAAUAAGUUUAAUAGAGACCAUUAUUCACUUUUACUCAUUAGUAGCGUUACUAAUCAUAAUCUGUAUCAUUAUGCACAACAAAAGGCGAUAUAAAAUUCACAACCUUUACAGAAGGUACCCUUGGGAGACAUGCAGAAUCAUAACAUAAAUUGUAUCAUUAUGCUCUACCAAAUCAUAAUCUGUCGACACCGUGGUUUGCAGAAAAUGCAGCAAUGCCAUAUACUUCUGAUACCUUGGUAUAUAUGGCAGCACAAGCACCAACCAUUGCAGUAAAUUUUAUUUGUCAUUUUGUAGGAACAUUCAAGCUUAGGGUCCCGUGGCUUCAGCAGGUGGAUACCCAUUCGGAUAGAAGCAACUAUACUUUUGUGGGUCAAAUGUUAGUCUGUAUUUGUUGUGAAAAUAAGCUCUGUUUGCACUAAAUCUUAUUGCGUAUCCUGAUAGAACAUAUGGUUUGAAGUUUUAGAUAUUUUUAUAAACAUUGAUAUAUAUGUGCUGAUAUUUCCUUAAAAUUGUUUAGUUAUUAGUUUCUGGCAGAUUGAUGCACUCGGUGUAAUUGGAUUUUGUUGUUUGUUUCCUUUUCGUAAAUUUUCCAAAUUGAUAUGA
This is a long non-coding RNA of Erigeron canadensis, 670 nucleotides long. RefSeq lists it as uncharacterized. The record is from RefSeq and is a predicted model, not a curated record. Lineage: Eukaryota; Viridiplantae; Streptophyta; Magnoliopsida; Asterales; Asteraceae. The transcript has 2 exons.